GAUGAACGCUGGCGGCGUGCUUAACACAUGCAAGUCGAACGAUGAAGCCCAGCUUGCUGGGUGUAUUAGUGUCGAACGGGUGUGUAACACGUGAGUAACCUGCCCUUAACUCUGGGAUAAGCCUGGGAAACUGGGUCUAAUACCGGAUAUGAGCGUCCACCGCAUGUUGUGUGUUGUAAAGAUUUAUCGGUUUUGGAUGGACUCGCGGCCUAUCAGCUUGUUGGUGAGGUAAUGGCUCACCAAGGCGACGACGGGUAGCCGGCCUGAGAGGGUGACCGGCCACACUGGGACUGAGACACGGCCCAGACUCCUACGGGAGGCAGCAGUGGGGAAUAUUGCACAAUGGGCGGAAGCCUGAUGCAGCGACGCCGCGUGAGGGAUGACGGCCUUCGGGUUGUAAACCUCUUUCAGUAGGGAAGAAGCGAAAGUGACGGUACCUGCAGAAGAAGCACCGGCUAACUACGUG
RNAcentral lists this ribosomal RNA (466 nucleotides) under uncultured bacterium. RNAcentral describes it as "partial 16S ribosomal RNA". It matches the Rfam family "Bacterial small subunit ribosomal RNA", at positions 28 to 507 of the family's 1533-position model. The record is from RNAcentral.